RNAcentral lists this ribosomal RNA (254 nucleotides) under uncultured bacterium. Its description in RNAcentral is "partial 16S ribosomal RNA". It matches the Rfam family "Bacterial small subunit ribosomal RNA", at positions 524 to 776 of the family's 1533-position model. The record is from RNAcentral.
GACGAACCGUGCGAACGUUAUUCGGAAUCACUGGGCUUAAAGCGCGUGUAGGCGGGCCGCCGCGUCGGCUGCUGAAAUCCCCCGGCUCAACCGAGGAACGGGCACCGAUACGGGCGGCCUCGAGGGGGGUAGGGGGGACUGGAACUUCCGGUGGAGCGGUGAAAUGCGUUGAGAUCGGAAGGAACGCCCGUGGCGAAAGCGAGUCCCUGGACCCUUUCUGACGCUGAGACGCGAAAGCCAGGGGAGCGAACGGG